AUCACUUCUCGGUCUUUUGGCUAAGAUCAAGUGUAGUAUCUGUUCUUAUCAGUUUAAUAUCUGAUACAUCCCCUAUCUGGGAACCAUAUAUUAAAUGGAUGUCUGGAGCUGGAGCUGGGGCUGGAGCAGGGGGGCUGGAGCAGGGGGCUGGGGAUGGAUGUCUGGAGCUGGAGCUGGGGCUCGCUCCGGCCACUCCGCACAUCCA
This 205-nucleotide small nuclear RNA is filed under the name Callorhinchus milii (elephant shark). RNAcentral describes it as "U2 spliceosomal RNA (ENSCMIG00000017163.1)". It matches the Rfam family "U2 spliceosomal RNA". Rfam says of the family: U2 is a small nuclear RNA (snRNA) component of the spliceosome (involved in pre-mRNA splicing). Complementary binding between U2 snRNA (in an area lying towards the 5' end but 3' to hairpin I) and the branchpoint sequence (BPS) of the intron results the bulging out of an unpaired adenosine, on the BPS, which initiates a nucleophilic attack at the intronic 5' splice site, thus starting the first of two transesterification reactions that mediate splicing. Lineage: Eukaryota; Metazoa; Chordata; Chondrichthyes; Chimaeriformes; Callorhinchidae. The record is from RNAcentral.